This is an RNA transcript of Carassius carassius (crucian carp), 1278 nucleotides long. RefSeq lists it as uncharacterized. The transcript has 4 exons. NCBI's taxonomy places the organism in Eukaryota, Metazoa, Chordata, Actinopteri, Cypriniformes, Cyprinidae. The record is from RefSeq and is a predicted model, not a curated record.
UGCACAUUUUCAGGCCUAUCUCCUUGAGGAAUUGAUGCGUUGGAAUGAUGACCGAAUGGAAGAUGCCAUAAAACGGGCGUCCUCCAUUCGGACAUAUGGCAGUGCCAUGAGAGAGGCUGUGGACCGGCUUAGCCGAACAGUCUUUGGGAAGCCCUGGGAUGAGCGCUAUCGCCCUCCUGGAGCAUAUACAGGUGAAUUGCUGGGAAUCGAGCACCUUUACAGCCAGACUGGCAAAACACUGACUCCAGUGCUCCAGAACCCAGAGGAGGAAGACCGGCUGGUGGAGGAGGUUGAUGAUCAGGACCUGCUAGAUGAGGGGUUUGAGGAGGAGAGCAUGGAGGACAUCACAGUUCCAGUGCUGUAUGAGGAUGACCCCUGCCGUGAGCUCAGAAACAGCCCCUCAUCUUGGCCUCUGCCUCAGUCCCCAGCAUCACUGGCUGAGCCGUCCACAUCAUCUGGAGGAGAGGGACAGCAUCUCGCCCCUGCCUCUUCAGUGCUGUCACAGCCAUCUGACACUGGAAGCAGUGUCUCCGGCGAGGCUCAGGGAGCAGUCAUUGGACCUGAUGGCAUCGCUGGGUGGGACAAGGUCCAGGAUCUGGCUGGUUUCCUGGUGGGUCUUCGUGAGGCUCCUUACCUCACCGACCUGCAGGUGACAGAGGCCAUCCAGCUGUGGACAGCUCUCCCUGACGUUGAUAAACAGCGGGUCAACUAUCAGCCUCGACAUCAGCCUCAGCUGACACAUGGGCGCUUUAAGGCACCGAAGCGGUCACACCGGGUGUGGAGAGUGUGAAACGGUGUCUGAUUGGACAUCCUGGGGGUCCAGCACAGUGGCCCAGCACCAGCCGCUUGGUUGAGGCCAUUUGUAUGAAGCUGUGUGCUUUACACAAGUCACCGACCAAGAAGGCUGGAGUUUGCACCCCCAGGUGGUCUGAAAUCCUUUCAGAUUACCACCACAUCCGAGACCUGGUGCUUAACAGUCGAAGGCUGAUGGAUGAAACAAUGAUCCAGCUGUUUGAGCUGAACCAGAGGACACUCAUUCAGUGGUUUCAACGGCAGCAGAAGAAUCAGGAAAUGAGUGUCCUCGCCCAGGGACUGACUCCAUCUGACCCAAUUGAUGUGGCUGAUACCCAGCUUCCUCUGCCGAGGGAAAAAUUGGAUGACGUGCCAUCAACAUCAGGCCCAAAACAUCAAUUUAUCCUUCCGCCAAAUCGAGAAGGACAGGCUCCAAUUCUGCGACCUGGUCGCCGGCCCACUGCUGCCAAAAGGGAGUGCCCUAUC